Long non-coding RNA from Varroa destructor (honeybee mite), 664 nucleotides. RefSeq lists it as uncharacterized. The record is from RefSeq and is a predicted model, not a curated record. Lineage: Eukaryota; Metazoa; Arthropoda; Arachnida; Mesostigmata; Varroidae.
ACUAACGAUAAGAGGCUGUCUCCACAGCUAAAGUGUGUCUCACGCAUUGUUGGAAAACCAACACACGUCUAGAAGAUACCGUCAGCGGGCGGGAGGAGUGAUGCAAAGGCAAAAGUCACUUAACGGCCUAGGAAUCUUCACUUUACUUACUUUCUGGUCGAGUAAAGAGUUCAACUUCAGUUGACGCUACGGGUUCUGUUAUUCACCGUUAACAUUUCAAAGAACAUUUGGCCAAUUCGUAAAGCGGUUUGAAUGGAACGCUUGUACCGUACGGACGUGUGGAUGAAGACUUGAUGAUCAUAGAAGGGGAUUCGCGGGAUUAGGACCUUCAAGUAUAUCUUGCCGGAAAACAAACGAUCCUCUCUCCCGACGGUAAAAAAGCUUGAGCUAAUGUUUGAACGAACCUUGGUAGCGGUGGGGAGACUUGUUCUGUGGUUGUUAGCCAUGGUUGGACACGUACUUCGGACAUCACACAUCAGCCCUAAUAACGAACAGGAAACUCAUCAUGCAACCGCUGAAGCUCUAAAAUUUGCCUUUUCGCGAAAGACAGCACUGUGGUAAGAACAUUGCAGAGAUGAAAAAACUGCGAUUAUGAGAAAAUUAGAUCCUUUCAGCGCGGAUUCGGACUUACACCUCUUUACGUGGCGUAAGGAAACACGCUAUU